This is a long non-coding RNA of Monopterus albus (swamp eel), 239 nucleotides long. RefSeq lists it as uncharacterized. The record is from RefSeq and is a predicted model, not a curated record. Lineage: Eukaryota; Metazoa; Chordata; Actinopteri; Synbranchiformes; Synbranchidae. The transcript has 3 exons.
CCCCACCUGUGGUCCCUCAUUUAGCGACGAGCGCUAUGCUUACUUUGUCUUCACUGCAAACACCUGUGGGACGACCAGAAAGUUUUUGCGCACUGUGAUGCUGUAUGAAAAUGAAAUAUCUCUGCCAGGCGUACAUGUAGAUGAAUCCAAGGAGAAGCAUCGAUAUGCAUUGAAGAUUUCUUGUUACUAUAACAUCAACACAACAAACACUGUGGGCUUCCACACUAAACCUGGUAUGA